Molecule: long non-coding RNA, 542 nt
Organism: Mus caroli (Ryukyu mouse)
Lineage: Eukaryota; Metazoa; Chordata; Mammalia; Rodentia; Muridae
Source: RefSeq, a predicted model, not a curated record
AAUCAAGCCUCUCCGCGGCUGGAUGAUUCCGCUGCUCGGAGCUGCCCACCUGGUUGGCACAGCAGGGAAGAUCAGUCCUCUGCCUCCUGUGUGCAACCCUAACAAUGCCAAAAAGCGGGUGGUUUCUGUGAGCCCGCCAUCCGCUCUUACACCGCAGCUCCUCCCUGGGCUAAGUUGAAGCAGAGCGGCUGCUGCUAAAAUUAGCCCUCCUGGGAACUCCCAGAGGGUCAGAGCACUUGAAGCAGAAAAAGAAUUACUCUGUCCUGGCAGUCUGGGAGAGACAGAAGAGGACAGAAACGGGCAGCCAGCAGCCAUUAACUAGUUUGUGUGCUCCUGCACGGGUGUCCUAAUUGGACUUGUUGACUUCAGACAGCCUACAUUCAUCUAAGAGAAGAAGCCUCAGCUGAGGAAUGGUCUCCAUCAGACUGGCCUGUGGCCAUGCCUUCUGGGGACUGUUUUGAUUCGGAAUUGACAUGGGAGGGCACUGCCCACUGUAGGCAGCUCCAUCCCUAGGCAGCCUGGAACCUGCUUGCUCAAGGGUG